GAUGAAGAACGCAGCGAAAUGCGAUAAGUAAUGUGAAUUGCAGAAUUCCGUGAAUCACCGAAUCUUUGAACGCACAUUGCGCCCCCUGGUAUUCCGGGGGGCAUGCCUGUCCGAGCGUCAUUGCAACCUUCAAGCGCGGCUUGUGUGUUGGGUCUCGUCCCCCGUGGACGGGCCCGAAAGGCAGUGGCGGCGUCCCGACAUGGUGCCCGAGCGUAUGGGAAUCCUCUUCCGCUCGAAUCGGCCCAUGCGGCGCUGGUCGUAACCAAAUUUUUUACCGGUUGACCUCGGAUCAGGUAGGGAUACCCGCUGAACUUAAGCAUAUCAAUAAGCGGAGGA
This 336-nucleotide unclassified non-coding RNA is filed under the name soil metagenome. RNAcentral's name for it is "partial contains 5.8S ribosomal RNA, internal transcribed spacer 2, and large subunit ribosomal RNA". The stretch from base 1 to 120 matches the Rfam family "5.8S ribosomal RNA", at positions 35 to 154 of the family's 154-position model. The record is from RNAcentral.